RNAcentral lists this long non-coding RNA (406 nucleotides) under Mytilus galloprovincialis (Mediterranean mussel). The record is from RNAcentral. Lineage: Eukaryota; Metazoa; Mollusca; Bivalvia; Mytilida; Mytilidae.
AUAAAGCUGCGCCCUGCUCAGCAUCUGUUUUUUCAUGGUUUAAGGGUCACUAAGGAUUUGUAUAGUAAUGUUUUAGCCCCUGUAUGCAAAGGUAUAUGGCAAUUGCAUAAAAGUAAAAUCGGUAGAUUUUUUUUUAUAUUUAAAGUGAAGCAACUUAAUUUUGCUUGCAAUAACUGCAAGUUACCCUACAGCUCGUCAUAGCACCCGGUUUUGUGCCCACUGGCACUUCUCAUGAUGAGUUUACACGUAAUUCGAAUUCGAUUCGCAUUAACUAAUUCGAAUUAGUUUAAUUCGCAUUCGAAACGUUUUACGUCCUAACGUCAAUUUUAAUUCGAAUUGCAAUGCGCGUCAAAUUCGCUUUACUGUCCAAACGACGUUAGCUAAAUUAAUUCGUAUUAACAAAAAC